AUACGGAGGAUCCAAGCGUUAUCCAGAAUCAUAGGGUUUAAAGGGUCCGUAGGCGGGUUUGUAAGUCAGUGGUGAAAGUUUUCGGCUCAACCGGAAAAUUGCCAUUGAUACUGCAAGUCUUGAAUCAUUAUGAAGUGGUUAGAAUGUGUAGUGUAGCGGUGAAAUGCAUAGAUAUUACACAGAAUACCGAUUGCGAAGGCAGAUCACUAAUAAUGUAUUGACGCUAAGGGACGAAAGCGUGGGCAGCGAACAGGAUUAGAAACCCCAGUAGUCC
Molecule: ribosomal RNA, 274 nt
Filed under: uncultured bacterium
Lineage: Bacteria
Description: partial 16S ribosomal RNA
Rfam family: Bacterial small subunit ribosomal RNA
Source: RNAcentral